AGCUCUCAGUUUUGAUUAUUCACUAGAGGGUCUCAUGGAACCCACUGAAAGCUAUUAUACUCAUGGUUAUGGUUUACUACAGGGAAGAAUACAGAUUAAAAUCGGCCAAGGGAAGAGACACAUGGAGCAGAGUCCAGGAUGGUCUGCAAGCUGCAUUUCCAGUUGCCUUUUCCCCGUGGAGGCAUGAACAGCAUUACUGACUCCUGGCAUUGAUGUGUGACAGUACACAGUGUAUCACCAACCAGGGAAGCUCACCCCAGCCUAGGUGCUCAGAGUUUUUAUUGGACGUUCAAUCAUACAUUGCUUGUGUUGCUGGUUUUUAGUCUCCAGCCCUUCUGGAAGUCAGGCUGAUAACAUUAGUCUCUGGAUCUUCCAGAGAAUGGCAGAUCCCAUGUAGCUCAACAUAAACUGCAUUGUUAGACUGUCAGGUGGACUGAAGACCCCUAGCAAACAAAGACACUCUUACAUGACCUUCAAGGAGCCUGGAGAUCAUCUCUCGGUGGCUCAGGGCAAAGGGCAGGCUUCUCUUUUGGAUAAAUUUAAUUCUUCACUAUGCAGUCUAUAACAUUCAAUUAUUUUUCUCCAACACACUUUUGCUUAUAGCAUCACUCAUAAGUGCUCUCUGUUAAUGAUGUACAUGAAAGGUGAAGAGAGACAGAGGCAGAGCUAGGGGGUUUGCAUCUGUACACAUGAGGGGCCCACACAUAUUACAUGUGCAUCUUAAAUGUCUUUACUAUUGGAUAUCUACUAGAUGGUUUUAAACAAUAUUCUUCUCAUUGUCUUUUGUCCCUUUUUGAGGCAAGGAGGAAACCCUGAUCAUGGAAAAAAAUAUGUAUAUAUUCUGCACAAAAUCAUUGAAGGUUUGAAAAACAAGAGGCAAAGCUGCCUUGAAAUCAACGGUUCACUCUGAUGGAACCUCUCCAGUUCCUGGUGCUAAUCAUAGCACUGGAGCCCGCGCUUUCAGAAAAGCAGAACUCUCAUGCUUAAAAAAAAAAAAAAAAAAAUCCUUCUUACCGAAAAAAAAAAGAAAAGAAAAAAACCCAAACUGCAACUGCAAAAUGUAUCUCAUUUCUCUUUCCAUUAGUCUGCUUCUCUUAUUAUUAUCUUUAUCCUGACAAAGGCUUAUGGGUUCUCUGUGAGUGUCUUGUCACUGCAAACAGUGGGGCACAGGAGGGCAGUUUUCAAGGAAAGCCAAAGGAAAAUGGUAGACACUGGAGGUCAGAGCAGUUCACAGGGGCUGUUAGCAGCUGUGGACACCAUCUGACUGAUGCAAG
Molecule: long non-coding RNA, 1274 nt
Filed under: Callithrix jacchus (white-tufted-ear marmoset)
Lineage: Eukaryota; Metazoa; Chordata; Mammalia; Primates; Cebidae
Description: lncRNA (ENSCJAG00000070625.1)
Source: RNAcentral